Molecule: ribosomal RNA, 408 nt
Filed under: uncultured bacterium
Lineage: Bacteria
Description: partial 16S ribosomal RNA
Rfam family: Bacterial small subunit ribosomal RNA
Source: RNAcentral
AGUGAACGCUGGCGGCGUGCCUAAUACAUGCAAGUCGAACGGUGUGGCGCACGGGGGAGUAAUAUAUAGCUACUAUGCCCCUUGCUGGAGGACACCAGUUAGGAAUGACUGCUAAUACUCCAUAGCAAGGGAUGAGACUAUAUCGUAUCAGCUAGUCGGUGGGGUAACCGCCUACCGAGGCUAGGACGCGUAACUGGUCUGAGAGGAUGAUCAGUCACAUUGGAACGGAGAAACGGUCCGAACUCCUACGGGAGGGAGCAAUAGGGAAUAUUGCGAAAUGGGGGGAAGCCUGACGCAUCAACGGCGCGUGGAGUAUGACACUUUUCGGAGAGUAAACUCCUUUUGUUAGGGAGGCGGUACCUAACUAAUAAGCACCGGCUAACUCCGUGCCAGCAGCCGCGGUAAUUC